GAUGAACGCUGGCGGCGUGCCUAAUACAUGCAAGUCGAGCGAACAGACGAGGAGCUUGCUCCUCUGACGUUAGCGGCGGACGGGUGAGUAACACGUGGAUAACCUACCUAUAAGACUGGGAUAACUUCGGGAAACCGGAGCUAAUACCGGAUAAUAUAUUGAACCGCAUGGUUCAAUAGUGAAAGACGGUUUUGCUGUCACUUAUAGAUGGAUCCGCGCCGCAUUAGCUAGUUGGUAAGGUAACGGCUUACCAAGGCAACGAUGCGUAGCCGACCUGAGAGGGUGAUCGGCCACACUGGAGCUGAGACACGGUCCAGACUCCUACGGGAGGCAGCAGUAGGGAAUCUUCCGCAAUGGUCGAGAGCUUGACGGAGCAACGCCGCGUGAGUGAUGAAGGUCUUCGGAUCGUAAAACUCUGUUAUUAGGGAAGAACAAAUGUGUAAGUAACUAUGCACGUCUUGACGGUACCUAAUCAGAAAGCCACGGCUAACUACGUG
RNAcentral lists this ribosomal RNA (497 nucleotides) under uncultured bacterium. Its description in RNAcentral is "partial 16S ribosomal RNA". It matches the Rfam family "Bacterial small subunit ribosomal RNA", at positions 28 to 507 of the family's 1533-position model. The record is from RNAcentral.